CCUACGGGAGGCAGCAGUGAGGAAUAUUGGUCAAUGGGCGCGAGCCUGAACCAGCCAAGCCGCGUGAAGGAUGACUGCCCUACGGGUUGUAAACUUCUUUUAUAAAGGAAUAAAGUGAGGUACGUGUGCCUGUUUGUAUGUACUUUAUGAAAAAGGAUCGGCUAACUACGUGCCAGCAGCCGCGGUAAUACGGAGGAUCCGAGCGUUAUCCGGAUUUAUUGGGUUUAAAGGGAGCGUAGGUGGGUUGUUAAGUCAGAUGUGAAAGUGUGCGGCUCAACCGUAGAAUUGCAAUUGAUACUGGCAGCCUUGAGUACAGUUGAGGUAGGCGGAAUUCGUGGUGUAGCGGUGAAAUGCUUAGAGAUCACGAAGAACUCCGAUUGCGAAGGCAGCUUACUAAACUGCCACUGACGUUGAUGCUCGAAAGCGUGGGGAUCAAACAGGAUUAGAUACCCGAGUAGUC
RNAcentral lists this ribosomal RNA (460 nucleotides) under uncultured bacterium. RNAcentral describes it as "partial 16S ribosomal RNA". It matches the Rfam family "Bacterial small subunit ribosomal RNA", at positions 338 to 795 of the family's 1533-position model. The record is from RNAcentral.